UACGUAGGGUGCGAGCGUUGUCCGGAAUUACUGGGCGUAAAGAGCUCGUAGGUGGUUUGUCGCGUUGUCCGUGAAAACUCACAACUCAAUUGUGGGCGUGCGGGCGAUACGGGCAGACUGGAGUACUGCAGGGGAGACUGGAAUUCCUGGUGUAGCGGUGGAAUGCGCAGAUAUCAGGAGGAACACCGGUGGCGAAGGCGGGUCUCUGGGCAUUAACUGACGCUGAGGAGCGAAAGCAUGGGGAGCGAACAGG
Molecule: ribosomal RNA, 253 nt
Filed under: uncultured bacterium
Lineage: Bacteria
Description: partial 16S ribosomal RNA
Rfam family: Bacterial small subunit ribosomal RNA
Source: RNAcentral